UACGGGAGCAGCAGUGGGGAAUAUUGCACAAUGGGCGAAAGCCUGAUGCAGCUAUGCCGCGUGUAUGAAGAAGGCCUUAGGGUUGUAAAGUACUUUCAUCGGGGAGGAAAAAACAAAACUAAUAAUUUUAUUUCUUGACGUUACCCGAAAAAGAAGCACCGGCUAACUCCGUGCCAGCAGCCGCGGUAAUACGGAGGGUGCUAGCGUUAAUCAGAAUUACUGGGCGUAAAGAGCACGUAGGUGGUUUUUUUAAGUCAGAUGUGAAAUCCCUGGGCUUAACCUAGGAACUGCAUUUUGAAACUGAAAUACUAGAGUAUCGUAGAGGGAGGUAGAAUUCUAGGUGUAGCGGUGAAAUGCGUAGAUAUCUGGAGGAAUACCUGUGGCGAAAGCGGCCUCCUAAACGAAUACUGACACUGAGGUGCGAAAGCGUGGGGAGCGAAACAGGGAUUAGAUACC
Molecule: ribosomal RNA, 456 nt
Filed under: uncultured bacterium
Lineage: Bacteria
Description: bacterial SSU rRNA
Rfam family: Bacterial small subunit ribosomal RNA
Source: RNAcentral